UGUAGGUCACCACAACGUGUACACAGGCGAACUGUUAGAGCGCUCACCAAGUAGCCGUAACGUUGUUAAUCAUGAGUUACCCGAGUGGCCUGGCUGCUUUGGGCUGGCCUGUGAGGUGGUCUCUGGGUGCUGAUCUAGGCAGAGAGGCAGAGGCAGGAGGAGCCUGCAGUGGAGGAGUGGCUGUGGGUGUUGAGGUGCCUGUCCAUGCCCGGGGUCCGGAGUAGAUAGCAGCUAAAACGCUUUGCUCUGCCCUCCCAACAGACGCUGGUUGGAGGCAGCCUCAGCAACAGACUCAGGAACAGGACAAGGACCCAAACCAACCCCAGGCUGUGUAAGGGCUAUUUGACCAAGAAGGAGAGUGAUGGAGUGCUGCAUCAGAUGACUUGGCCUCUACAAUCACCCGACCUCAAACCAAUUGAGAUCGUUUGGGAUGAGUUGGACUCCAGAGUGAAGGAAAAGCAGCCAACAAGUGCUCAUCAUAUGUGGGAACUCCUUCAAGACUUUUGGAAAAGCAUUCCAGGUUAGCUUUUGUAGGGAAGCUAAUUAUCCAUCAUGUAUGACAUUCCUGGGAGUGUGUAAACUUGAAUUUUUUAUUACCAUGGCAUUUUUGUUUGUUCUCUAGUCAUGUCCUUGAAAAUGUAUAAAUUGACCAAUUAGGCACAUUUGGCAAACUCCUGUCAUUCUGAAACGUUGCACAUACACUGCUGCUUGCUUGUGGACAACAUCUCAAUUUACACCUAGACUCCUAUCUCAAUGUAUGGCCUUUCUCUUCCAUUUCAUGAUGAUGAAAUGAUGAUGAAAAAAAAGAAAUAUGUAUUUUUGUUUGUAUUAUCUUUUACCAGAUCUAAUGUGUUAUAUUCUCCUGCAUUCAUUUCACAUUUCCACCAACUUCAAAGUGUUUCCUUCAAAUGGUAUCAAGAAUAUGCAUAUCCUUGUUUCAAGUCCUGAGCUACAGGCAGUUAGAUUUGGGUAUGUUAUUUUAGGCGGAAAUACAAAAAAUGGGUCCGAUCCUUGUAACCAUAAUAUUUGUUGUAAUAUUUGUUCGGUCUUUUCUGGUGGAUUAAACUGAAAUUGCAACCAACA
Oncorhynchus nerka (sockeye salmon) is the source of this 1083-nucleotide long non-coding RNA. RefSeq lists it as uncharacterized. The record is from RefSeq and is a predicted model, not a curated record. The transcript is spliced from 3 exons. NCBI's taxonomy places the organism in Eukaryota, Metazoa, Chordata, Actinopteri, Salmoniformes, Salmonidae.